CUUUAAAGGAUAGUAGCU
This 18-nucleotide transfer RNA is filed under the name Gerrhonotus infernalis. Its description in RNAcentral is "partial tRNA-Leu". The record is from RNAcentral. Lineage: Eukaryota; Metazoa; Chordata; Lepidosauria; Squamata; Anguidae.